Molecule: ribosomal RNA, 253 nt
Filed under: uncultured bacterium
Lineage: Bacteria
Description: partial 16S ribosomal RNA
Rfam family: Bacterial small subunit ribosomal RNA
Source: RNAcentral
UACGUAGGGGGCAAGCGUUGUCCGGAUUUAUUGGGCGUAAAGAGCGUGUAGGCGGCUAGGUAGGUCCGUUGUGAAAACUCGAGGCUCAACCUCGAGACGCCGGUGGAAACCAUCUAGCUAGAGUCCGGAAGAGGAGAAUGGAAUUCCCGGUGUAGCGGUGAAAUGCGCAGAUAUCGGGAGGAACACCGGUGGCGAAGGCGGUUCUCUGGGCCUUACCUGACGCUGAGGAGCGAAAGCGUGGGGAGCGAACAGG